This 465-nucleotide ribosomal RNA is filed under the name uncultured bacterium. RNAcentral describes it as "partial 16S ribosomal RNA". It matches the Rfam family "Bacterial small subunit ribosomal RNA", at positions 28 to 507 of the family's 1533-position model. The record is from RNAcentral.
GACGAACGCUGGCGGCGUGCUUAACACAUGCAAGUCGAACGGAAAGGCCCUGCUUGCAGGGUACUCGAGUGGCGAACGGGUGAGUAACACGUGGGUGAUCUGCCCUGCACUUCGGGAUAAGCCAGGGAAACUGGGUCUAAUACCGGAUAGGAGCCAUUUUUAGUGUGAUGGUUGGAAAGUUUUUUCGGUGUAGGAUGAGCUCGCGGCCUAUCAGCUUGUUGGUGGGGUAAUGGCCUACCAAGGCGGCGACGGGUAGCCGGCCUGAGAGGGUGGACGGCCACAUUGGGACUGAGAUACGGCCCAGACUCCUACGGGAGGCAGCAGUGGGGAAUAUUGCACAAUGGGCGCAAGCCUGAUGCAGCGACGCCGCGUGGGGGAUGACGGCCUUCGGGUUGUAAACUCCUUUCGCUAGGGACGAAGCUUUUUGUGACGGUACCUAGAUAAGAAGCACCGGCUAACUACGUG